UACGAAGGGGGCUAGCGUUGUUCGGAUUAACUGGGCGUAAAGGGUGCGUAGGCGGGGUUUUAAGUCAGGGGUGAAAUGCCGAGGCUCAACUUCGGAACUGCCUUUGAUACUGGAACUCUUGAGUCUGGGAGAGGUGAGUGGAACUGCGAGUGUAGAGGUGAAAUUCGUAGAUAUUCGCAAGAACACCAGUGGCGAAGGCGGCUCACUGGCCCGGUACUGACGCUGAGGUGCGAAAGCGUGGGGAGCCAAACAGG
This 254-nucleotide ribosomal RNA is filed under the name uncultured bacterium. RNAcentral describes it as "partial 16S ribosomal RNA". It matches the Rfam family "Bacterial small subunit ribosomal RNA", at positions 524 to 776 of the family's 1533-position model. The record is from RNAcentral.